GAUGAACGCUGGCGGCGUGCCUAAUACAUGCAAGUCGAGCGAACGGACGAGAAGCUUGCUUCUCUGAUGUUAGCGGCGGACGGGUGAGUAACACGUGGAUAACCUACCUAUAAGACUGGGAUAACUUCGGGAAACCGGAGCUAAUACCGGAUAAUAUUUUGAACCGCAUUGUUCAAACGUGAAAGACGGUCUUGCUUUCACUUAUAGAUGGAUCCGCGCUGCAUUAGCUAGUUGGUAAGGUAACGGCUUACCAAGGCAACGAUGCAUAGCCGACCUGAGAGGGUGGACGGCCACACGGGAACUGAGACACGGUCCAGACUCCUACAGGAGGCAGCAGUAGGGAAUCUUCCGCAAUGGGCGAAAGCCGGACGGAGCAACGCCGCGUGAGUGAUGAAGGUCUACGGAUCGUAAAACUAUGUUAUUAGGGAAGAACAUAUGUGUAAGUAACUGUGCACAUCUUGACGGUACCUAAACAGAAAGCCACGGCUAACUACGUG
Molecule: ribosomal RNA, 497 nt
Filed under: uncultured bacterium
Lineage: Bacteria
Description: partial 16S ribosomal RNA
Rfam family: Bacterial small subunit ribosomal RNA
Source: RNAcentral